RNAcentral lists this unclassified non-coding RNA (181 nucleotides) under Moritella viscosa. RNAcentral's name for it is "putative sRNA". Lineage: Bacteria; Pseudomonadati; Pseudomonadota; Gammaproteobacteria; Alteromonadales; Moritellaceae. The record is from RNAcentral.
UAGUAUAUUAGUUAACUCAAUACUCCGUAACUCGUAAAAAUACCAGAUAAUCAUCCAUCUCAAGUCCAAGGAGGACACGUAGUACAAACCACAGCACCUUGACUACACAGAAUUAAUUGGAAUGAAUUGAGGGUGAAAAAAAUCCCACUUACUGCAAAUAAGUGGGAUUUUACAUCAAGGA